AUUGAACGCUGGCGGAAUGCUUUACACAUGCAAGUCGAGCGGCAGCGCGGGGCAACCUGGCGGCGAGCGGCGAACGGGUGAGUAAUACAUCGGAACGUGCCCAGACGUGGGGGAUAACUACUCGAAAGAGUGGCUAAUACCGCAUACGAUCUACGGAUGAAAGCGGGGGAUCGCAAGACCUCGCGCGUCUGGAGCGGCUGAUGGCAGAUUAGGUAGUUGGUGGGAUAAAAGCCUACCAAGCCAAUGAUCUGUAGCUGGUCUGAGAGGAUGAUCAGCCACACUGGGACUGAGACACGGCCCAGACUCCUACGGGAGGCAGCAGUGGGGAAUUUUUGGACAAUGGGCGAAAGCCUGAUCCAGCCAUUCCGCGUGCAGGAUGAAGGCCCUCGGGUUGUAAACUGCUUUUGUACAGAACGAAAAAGCUACUGGCUAAUACCUGGAGUCCAUGACGGUACUGUAAGAUAAGCACCGGCUAACUACGU
RNAcentral lists this ribosomal RNA (482 nucleotides) under uncultured bacterium. RNAcentral describes it as "bacterial SSU rRNA". It matches the Rfam family "Bacterial small subunit ribosomal RNA", at positions 30 to 506 of the family's 1533-position model. The record is from RNAcentral.